GAUGAACGCUAGCUACAGGCUUAACACAUGCAAGUCGAGGGGAAACGACAUCGAAAGCUUGCUUUUGAUGGGCGUCGACCGGCGCACGGGUGAGUAACGCGUAUCCAACCUGCCCACCACUUGGGGAUAACCUUGCGAAAGUAAGACUAAUACCCAAUGACGUCUCUAGAAGACAUCUGAAAGAGAUUAAAGAUUUAUCGGUGAUGGAUGGGGAUGCGUCUGAUUAGCUUGUUGGCGGGGUAACGGCCCACCAAGGCGACGAUCAGUAGGGGUUCUGAGAGGAAGGUCCCCCACAUUGGAACUGAGACACGGUCCAAACUCCUACGGGAGGCAGCAGUGAGGAAUAUUGGUCAAGGGACGAGAGUCUGAACCAGCCAAGUAGCGUGCAGGAUGACGGCCCUAUGGGUUGUAAACUGCUUUUAUAAGGGAAUAAAGUGAGUCUCGGGAGACUUUUUGCAUGUACCUUAUGAAUAAGGACCGGCUAAUUCCGUG
This 492-nucleotide ribosomal RNA is filed under the name uncultured bacterium. RNAcentral's name for it is "partial 16S ribosomal RNA". It matches the Rfam family "Bacterial small subunit ribosomal RNA", at positions 28 to 507 of the family's 1533-position model. The record is from RNAcentral.